AAAAGAUGAUUCAUCUGAUGGCGAUCCGGGGACGAACAUGCCGAGAUACUCUGCCGGUGCUGAUGAAGACAUCGAUGUAUUCCAAAGCGGCACCAUGGGCGAUGAGCAGGAAGCACACGACUUGAUUGAUGAGGAGUACUACAUGUUUUGCAACGAAGGAUCCGAUAACGACAUAUUGGAUGAUGAAGAGGAAGCGAGCAUGUCUAGCGCUAAA
Triticum aestivum (bread wheat) is the source of this 214-nucleotide long non-coding RNA. RefSeq lists it as uncharacterized. NCBI's taxonomy places the organism in Eukaryota, Viridiplantae, Streptophyta, Magnoliopsida, Poales, Poaceae. The record is from RefSeq and is a predicted model, not a curated record. The transcript is spliced from 3 exons.